Molecule: long non-coding RNA, 441 nt
Filed under: Mytilus galloprovincialis (Mediterranean mussel)
Lineage: Eukaryota; Metazoa; Mollusca; Bivalvia; Mytilida; Mytilidae
Source: RNAcentral
AGCAAAUGCUUCCGUGAUUUUUACAUUCAUGUCUGAUUUCAAGGAUUUUAUCAAAGUUUUACUGAUAUUUCAAUUUUAUACUUUGCAUAUGCAAUUCUAGGAAUCAACGGUUAAAGUGAUCUGCAAAACUCAUAAAUUCUUCAAGAAGAUAAUAAUCAAGGUAAGGAAAAAGAAAAUAAAAACUGAGGAAACCGCAUAAAGAAGAUCCAGCCCGGGUGUGUCGACAGUCAUGCAAGCAUCAACCGACAAGACAUUAUAUACUCAUUCAAUAUGUCACAAUCGGGAUUUAUUUUAGAACAUACAUAGACUGGAUAAUAUGAAAUUAACAUUUACACGACAUAGAGCCAUGUUAAUGAUUAUAUGUAAGAUAUUUCAUUUGACUACUAUGUUAAUAAAUAGUAAACAUUGUAAUGAAGUCUUUUGAACAUAAAACAAACAGCC